RNAcentral lists this ribosomal RNA (496 nucleotides) under uncultured bacterium. RNAcentral describes it as "partial 16S ribosomal RNA". It matches the Rfam family "Bacterial small subunit ribosomal RNA", at positions 29 to 507 of the family's 1533-position model. The record is from RNAcentral.
AUGAACGCUGGCGGCGUGCCUCAUCCAUGCAAGUCGCGCGAACGGACGAGAAGCUUGCUUCUCUGAUGUUAGCGGCGGACGGGUGAGUAACACGUGGAUAACCUACCUAUAAGACUGGGAUAACUUCGGGAAACCGGAGCUAAUACCGGAUAAUAUUUUGAACCGCAUGGUUCAAAAGUGAAAGACGGUCUUGCUGUCACUUAUAGAUGGAUCCGCGCUGCAUUAGCUAGUUGGUAAGGUAACGGCUUACCAAGGCAACGAUGCAUAGCCGACCUGAGAGGGUGAUCGGCCACACUGGAACUGAGACACGGUCCAGACUCCUACGGGAGGCAGCAGUAGGGAAUCUUCCGCAAUGGGCGAAAGCCUGACGGAGCAACGCCGCGUGAGUGAUGAAGGUCUUCGGAUCGUAAAACUCUGUUAUUAGGGAAGAACAUAUGUGUAAGUAACUGUGCACAUCUUGGCGGUACCUAAUCAGAAAGCCACGGCUAACUACGUG